RNAcentral lists this ribosomal RNA (254 nucleotides) under uncultured bacterium. Its description in RNAcentral is "partial 16S ribosomal RNA". It matches the Rfam family "Bacterial small subunit ribosomal RNA", at positions 524 to 776 of the family's 1533-position model. The record is from RNAcentral.
UACGAAGGGUGCAAGCGUUAAUCGGAAUUACUGGGCGUAAAGCGCACGUAGGUGGUUCGCUAAGUCAGCUGUGAAAUCCCCGGGCUCAACCUGGGAACUGCGUUUGUGACUGUAUGACUAGAGUACGGUAGAGAGGGGUGGAAUUCCUGGUGAUAGCGGUGAAUGACGCAGAUAUCAGGAGGAACACCGGUGGCGAAGGCGGGUCUCUGGGCCGAUACUGACGCUGAGGAGCGAAAGCGUGGGGAGCGAACAGG